UAAGGAAUAUUGGACAAUGGGCGAAAGCCUGAUCCAGCCAUGCCGCGUGAGUGAAGAAGGCCUUCGGGUUGUAAAGCUCUUUUAGUCGGAAAGAAAGAGUUGCAAUGAAUAAUUGUGAUUUAUGACGGUACCGACAGAAAAAGCGCCGGCUAACUACGUGCCAGCAGCCGCGGUAAUACGUAGGGUGCGAGCGUUAAUCGGAAUUACUGGGCGUAAAGGGUGCGCAGGCGGUCUUGCAAGUCAGAUGUGAAAGCCCCGGGCUUAACCUGGGAAUUGCGUUUGAAACUACAAGACUAGAGUGCAGCAGAGGGGAGUGGAAUUCCAUGUGUAGCAGUGAAAUGCGUAGAGAUGUGGAAGAACACCGAUGGCGAAGGCAGCUCCCUGGGUUGACACUGACGCUCAUGCACGAAAGCGUGGGGAGCAAACA
RNAcentral lists this ribosomal RNA (427 nucleotides) under uncultured beta proteobacterium. RNAcentral describes it as "bacterial SSU rRNA". It matches the Rfam family "Bacterial small subunit ribosomal RNA", at positions 355 to 774 of the family's 1533-position model. Lineage: Bacteria; Pseudomonadati; Pseudomonadota; Betaproteobacteria. The record is from RNAcentral.